Molecule: ribosomal RNA, 407 nt
Filed under: uncultured bacterium
Lineage: Bacteria
Description: partial 16S ribosomal RNA
Rfam family: Bacterial small subunit ribosomal RNA
Source: RNAcentral
AUUGAACGCUGGCGGCAGGCCUAACACCUGCAAGUCGAGCGGAGCGGCGGACGGGUGCGUAAUGCAUAUGAAUCUGCAUGUUCGUGGGGGAGGACGUCCAGCAACGAGCGCUAAUACCGCCAACUAUCAGAUGAGCCUAGGUCGGAUUAGGUAGUUGGUGGGGUAACGGCUCACAAAGGCGACGAUCCGGAGCUGGUCUGAGAGGAUGAUCAGUCACACGGGAACUGAGACACGGGCCAGACUCCUACGGGAGGCAGAAGUGGGGAAUAUUGGACAAUGGGCGAAAGCCUGAUUCAGCCAUGCCGCGUGUGUGAAGAAGGUCUGCGGAUUGUAAAGCACUUGCAGUUGGGAGGCGUUACCAACAGAAUAAGCACCGGCUAACUUCGUGCCAGCAGCCGCGGUAAUAC